MicroRNA precursor from Gadus morhua (Atlantic cod), 62 nucleotides. Lineage: Eukaryota; Metazoa; Chordata; Actinopteri; Gadiformes; Gadidae. The record is from Ensembl.
UACCAUAUUGUGCAUGCUCUGUGUAAAGUUGAACACAGAGCAUGUACCAUGUGGUGCAUGCA